GUGGCGAACGGGUGAGUAACACGUGAGCAACCUGCCCCUGACUCUGGGAUAAGCGCUGGAAACGGCGUCUAAUACUGGAUACGAACCAUGAAGGCAUCUUCAGUGGUUGGAAAGAUUUAUUGGUUGGGGAUGGGCUCGCGGCCUAUCAGCUUGUUGGUGAGGUAAUGGCUCACCAAGGCGUCGACGGGUAGCCGGCCUGAGAGGGUGACCGGCCACACUGGGACUGAGACACGGCCCAGACUCCUACGGGAGGCAGCAGUGGGGAAUAUUGCACAAUGGGCGCAAGCCUGAUGCAGCAACGCCGCGUGAGGGAUGACGGCCUUCGGGUUGUAAACCUCUUUUAGCAGGGAAGAAGCGAAAGUGACGGUACCUGCAGAAAAAGCGCCGGCUAACUACGUGCCAGCAGCCGCGGUAAUACGUAGGGCGCAAGCGUUAUCCGGAAUUAUUGGGCGUAAAGAGCUCGUAGGCGGUUUGUCGCGUCUGCUGUGAAAUCCGGAGGCUCAACCUCCGGCCUGCAGUGGGUACGGGCAGACUAGAGUGCGGUAGGGGAGAUUGGAAUUCCUGGUGUAGCGGUGGAAUGCGCAGAUAUCAGGAGGAACACCGAUGGCGAAGGCAGAUCUCUGGGCCGUAACUGACGCUGAGGAGCGAAAGGGUGGGGAGCAAACAGGCUUAGAUACCCUGGUAGUCCACCCCGUAAACGUUGGGAACUAGUUGUGGGGUCCAUUCCACGGAUUCCGUGACGCAGCUAACGCAUUAAGUUCCCCGCCUGGGGAGUACGGCCGCAAGGCUAAAACUCAAAGGAAUUGACGGGGACCCGCACAAGCGGCGGAGCAUGCGGAUUAAUUCGAUGCAACGCGAAGAACCUUACCAAGGCUUGACAUAU
Molecule: ribosomal RNA, 883 nt
Filed under: Microbacterium sp. CTLA05
Lineage: Bacteria; Bacillati; Actinomycetota; Actinomycetes; Micrococcales; Microbacteriaceae
Description: bacterial SSU rRNA
Rfam family: Bacterial small subunit ribosomal RNA
Source: RNAcentral